This 253-nucleotide ribosomal RNA is filed under the name uncultured bacterium. RNAcentral describes it as "partial 16S ribosomal RNA". It matches the Rfam family "Bacterial small subunit ribosomal RNA", at positions 524 to 776 of the family's 1533-position model. The record is from RNAcentral.
UACGAAGGGGGCUAGCGUUGCUCGGAAUUACUGGGCGUAAAGCGUGCGCAGGCGGUUCGGGAUGUCUGGUGUGAAAGCCCCGGGCUUAACCUGGGAAUUGCAUUGGAAACUAGCGGGCUGGAGUGUGGCAGAGGGGGGUGGAAUUCCACGUGUAGCAGUGAAAUGCGUAGAGAUGUGGAGGAACACCGAUGGCGAAGGCAGCCCCCUGGGCUAACACUGACGCUCAUGCACGAAAGCGUGGGGAGCAAACAGG